Molecule: unclassified non-coding RNA, 377 nt
Filed under: Fusarium pseudocircinatum
Lineage: Eukaryota; Fungi; Ascomycota; Sordariomycetes; Hypocreales; Nectriaceae
Description: partial contains 28S ribosomal RNA, 28S-18S ribosomal RNA intergenic spacer, and 18S ribosomal RNA
Source: RNAcentral
AACGGUCUCGGAGGGUAUAUGAGAAGGGAGCAAAUCCGGCCGAGCCUGAAAGGGCGAGGGAAAACCGGACGAGCAACCUCUCGUACCUGAUCUUGAAGACUUCCACUGCGUGUCCCUCUGUACAGCUUUGCAGGCUCCGGCCUCGGCAGCGGGGGGUUCAUAGUGGUCGUCGACCUCCACGAAACUGCACGCUCCGGCGUGACAGCGUACUGGGGAUGCCUGUGUUUACGCAGUCCGGGCUUGCCUGGACCGCCAGCAGAUGGGCUCUGUGGAUGACUGGCCGCUGGCUAGACCUGAAACCUGAGCAACGGGAGGUAACCUCUCGCCGCGGACACCGGAAUGGUAGAAGCGGCGUGCUGCGUCCUCCUCUUGGGGCC